AUGAAAGAGACGGGAGAGGGAGGAGGAGACGAAAGAGACGGGAGAGGGAGGAGGAGACGAAAGAGACGGGAGAGGGAGGAGGAGACGAAAGAGACGGGAGAGGGAGGAGGAGACGAAAGAGACGGGGGAGGGAGGAGGAGACGAAAGAGACGGGGGAGAGGGAGGAGGAGACGAAAGAGACGGGGGAGAGGGAGGAGGAGACGAAAGAGACGGGGGAGAGGGAGGAGGAGAAAGGGGAGAGGGAGGAGGAGACAAAAGAGACAGGGGAGAGGGAGGAGGAGACAAGAGACAGGGGAGAGGGAGGAGGAGACAGGGGAGAGGGAGGAGGAGACAAAAGAGACAGGGGAGAGGGAGGAGGAGACAAAAGAGACAGGGGAGAGGGAGGAGGAGACAAAAGAGACAGGGGAGAGGGAGGAGGAGACGAAAGAGACAGGGGAGAGGGAGGAGGAGACAAAAGAGACGCGAGAGGGAGGAGGACACGAAAGAGACGGGAGAGGGAGGAGGAGACAAAAGAGACAGGGGAGAGGGAGGAGGAGACAAAAGAGACGGGAGAGGGAGGAGGAGACCAAAGAGACAGGGGAGAGGGAGGAGGAGACGAAAGAGACAGGGGAGAGGGAGGAGGAGACAAGAGACGGGAGAGGGAGGAGGAGACGAAAGAGACAGGGGAGAGGGAGGAGGAGACGAAAGAGACAGGGGAGAGGGAGGAGGAGACAAAAGAGACGCGAGAGGGAGGAGGAGACGAAAGAGACGCGAGAGGGAGGAGGAGACGAAAGAGACGUGAGAGGGAGGAGGAGACGAAAGAGACAGGAGAGGCAGGAGGAGACGAAAGAGACAGGGGAGAGGGAGGAGGAGACAAGAGACGGAGAGGGAGGAGGAGACGAAAGAGACAGGGGAGAGGGAGGAGGAGACGAAAGAGACAGGGGAGGGGGAGGAGGAGACAAAAGAGACGGGAGAGGGAGGAGGAGACGAAAGAGACGGGAGAGAGGGAGGAGAAGACGAAAGAGAUGUGAGAGGGAGGAGGAGACGAAAGAGACAGGGGAGAGGGAAGAGGAGACAAAAGAGACAGGAGAAGGAGGAGGAGACGAAAGAGACGGGGGAGGGAAGGGGAGAUGA
RNAcentral lists this long non-coding RNA (1113 nucleotides) under Oncorhynchus mykiss (rainbow trout). Its description in RNAcentral is "lncRNA (ENSOMYG00000049189.1)". Lineage: Eukaryota; Metazoa; Chordata; Actinopteri; Salmoniformes; Salmonidae. The record is from RNAcentral.